GGGAGAUAACUGGUUCUUAAAAAACUUUCGUCUCAUCUCAUUUCAGUCACUCUGCCCUGCCCCAGUUCCAGAGGUGACUAGUGCUGUCUGUUCCUGGACCUUUGCAGUCUCUGCUGGUUGGUUCCUAACUUUUCUGACUCCUGGUUUAGGAUUCUGACCUCUUUGUUGUGCUAGUUCUGUUACCACUGCUCCAUCUGUUUUCCAUCUUCACAAAUCUUAUUGCUGCUACCCCUUCACCUGUUCUCCUAGUCCUGGUGGGUUUAUGUCUUUUAAAUGGUCACCUGGCCUCACAUAGUGAGGUUUCAGGGUGACCAAUAUUAGAUACGGUGUGUUCAAUUUUCCAUUGUUACUUGGAAGUCCUAUGUUAUAUUUUGGUUGAUUUCCUAAAAUCUUUUUUUCCAGUUCACUCAUUCUAUACUUGUGUCACUUUAUUUUCUACUUUUCCAUUGAGCUAUUUUUAGGAGUUCUAUUUUGUCCUUUUUUCAAGUCUGCUCUUUUCUUUUUCUUUGUUAUUUACUCCUAUUCUUUCAUUAUGGCUUUUAGUCUUACUUUUAUCAUUUUAAUAAUUUGAAGAAGUCUUAUUUUGUUGUCCAUUUCAGAUUACAGUAUUUUCCCAGCUCUUAGAUUUUAGUCUAAAAAAAAAAAAAAUCUCUUUAUGACUGUCCAUCAUGGUAGUUAACUCCUUUAUAUGGUAUGUGUGUGUUUGUGUUUUGGCAAGUUCAUCUUCACAGAGAUUUAUUUCCAGUGGGAAUCUUGUGAAUCCUGAGUUAUGAAAUUGUCCCUAUGCAGUGGUCAUAUGUUUGUUUCUUUUGGUGAUUGAAGGAGUUUCAGUGGUCCUGAAAAUGUAUUUAUAUUCACUGCUUGUCUCACACCCAGACACACCAAUAAUGUAAAUUCUGAUCCUACAAUUGAAUGGGAUUCAUGUUUAGGGUUUUCCUUUCUCAGAAGUGUCCAAGCUCUGCAUUUAAAACAGUUAUCUUCUUUGGAGUUCCUGUCGUGGCGCAGUGGAAACGAAUCUGACUGGGAACUGUGAGGUUUCGGGUUCAAUCCCUAGCCUUGCUUAGUGGGUUAAGGAUCUGGUAUUGCCAUGAGCUGUGGUGUAGGUCACAGACGUGGCUCGGAUCUUGCAUUGCUCUGCUGGCCUACGCCACAGCCACAGCAACGCAAGAUCCAAGCUGCUUCUGUGAUCUACACCACAGCUCACGGCAACAUCUUAACCCGCAUGAGUGAGGCCAGGGAUCGAACCUGCGUCCUCAUGGAUGCAAGUCAGAUUCGUUAACCGCUUAGCCACAACGGGAACUCCUCAAUUUUGUUUUCUUUUUUGAUUUUAAUUUUUCCAAAGAGUAAUGCAUUUUCCCCUCUCCUUUCUUCAUUUUCUUUUCUUUUCUUUUCUUAAGACCCAAUUCAGGUUCCAUGAUCUCUCAGAAAUCUCCCCUGAAGUCUGCAGCCCAUCAAGGGUUUUUUCCUUCUCUAACUGCUUUUGACAUUGUCAUUUGAAUCACCUAAUUGGCCCCCUAUUAUAAAUCUGUCUGACCCUGUUUAAUGAUUGAAUGUGAUGUACUUGGUCUCCUCAACAAAAUUGUAAGUGCUAGUUUGCAGAAACCGUGCUUAGACAUCUUUACCAUUUCCCAAAGUGCUUUUCUUGAUUAAUUGAUGAGUAAACAAUUUAGAGGAAAUAUGUUCCCUGUGAUAGAGCCUGGGCUUGGUGUCAGGAAGCCUGGAUUCUGCCCCUUUUCUCGCCAUCAGUUCCCUGGUGUAUUUGAGCAAACCAUCUUGCCUUGUAUGAGCAGGCCACUGUAAUCUGGCAAUUAGAUUGAGUGGUCAUGUAUCUUAGCUUUCAAACAGGGACAGUUAUGAGAGCAAAAGGGGAAGCACUACGAAUAAUUUUACAGGGACAACGGGUGUAACCUGGGACUCUUCCUGAUGAGCCAGGACAUAUGGUCACCUUAUGUCACAGAUCACCUUGAGCUCUUCAGAAAAUUCUGCACAGAUGCUCUCAAAAUACCAGUCUUGAAAUUAAAAAAAAAAAUUAUCAUCCCUUAUAAGACCUCACGGGUAAUAAAGUGUUUUGUUUUCCCAGACGUUCAUAUUUUCUCAACUACUUUCCUGGCUUUAAAUGCUUAUUAUAACUGAAGUUAAAGAAAUUAUGGGUUUGAGAAUUAAUAUUAUUAAGAGAAAAAUGCCUUUAUUUUCCAUGUCAACACCACUCUCUGUCCUGGAAGAAUUUUCAGAAUUCUGAGCCUUGUUUUCUUGGGUGCUUUUUGAAACAUAAGCUCUUACCUCCAGUAUAACCAGUGAUGGAGGAAAGGUCUGUGAAUGGUUGUUGAUCCCCAAGACUGGGUAUGUCUUCAUGUAAUGGUGUGUUCAGUGGCUUAGCAUAGUAGGUGAGGUAGAUCUUUAAAAAGACACAUUAUAAAUACUAUUGCUCACUAGCUGGCUCAUUUCUGCAGCUCUUGCCAGAAUGCUCUGUACACAGCAGGUGCUUCAUAAAUGUUUGUUGGCUUCAAAUUCCAAGGAACACUUGGAAGACAGUGGUGGCUAGUAAAUUCAUUUACCAGUGCUGGUCGCUUCACUCCUGAUGGUGCUUAGGGAGUACUCUGUGAUGGGGGCACGGUGUUGGAAUGCAAAGACAAACAGAUACUAUCUCUUCCCUCUGGGAUUUUAUGAUCUAGAGACAGUCUUAGAGCUGUAAACAACACAGUCUAAGAAAGUUCAAGGAAAAAAAAAAAAUCAGUUUUGACCUAGGGGAGUUAGGUGGCAUUUGAGCUAGGGUUUGAAAGGUAGGCUUCUACUCUAGAACAGAGGUGGAUGAAGGCCAUUUCAUACAGUGGCAAUGGCACAAACAAAAACCUGUAAGAGUACAAUUGCUUGGAAUGUAUAAGGAAUCUUGUAUAAGAGGUCUUGUGUGUCUGGAAGAUAAGAUUUAAUAGGUGAGAUGUCCUUUAAUGUCAAACUAGGGAACUCGGGUUAUAUUAUGUAGACAAUGGGAAUCACAGUUUUGGAUUUUUGCAACCAACUCAUGUGGCAGAAUGAUAACCUGGUUGCAGGGAGACCAGUAAUGCAGAGGCUUUGGUGUCUAGGGGAGAUAGAAGGUAGCCAGAUAUGAGAUACAGAAUUAGCAUGUAGAGUUUAGGAGGAGAUAAGACCCGAACAUGACACCAAAGGGAUGAGAAGAUGGUGACGCCAUGAUGAGACCAUGGAAAGUUGGAGAAGAGCAGAACUGGAUUGUUAGGGAGCUCUUGAACUCUAGGGAGCUUUGUGAGACUAUGUGAAAUAGUGCAUAAAAAACCUUAACUGAUUCUUUGAAUGAAGUAGAUGUUUGAUAAAUACUACAUUGAAGGAAGAAGGGAAGGAAGAAAAGAAUGGGAAGAAAGGGGUCUUUCUCUCUGUGCAUGAGGCCAAAACAGGGAGGAUAGUUAGGGGUUUAGGAGAUCCAAUGGGAAUCAUGCACUGGGCUCUUCCUGUCAAGAACUUGCCAACUACUUAUGAAUUGAGUGCACAAACCAGGAGAGGACUCAGAAAGAAUGAAUGACCCAAGUUUGUUGGGGUCAGAUAGGGAGAAGUAGGCUUUGAGCCAGACUUGGAAGAAGUGAGAGAUGUAGGGUGAUGGAGGGUCCACAAUGAGCCAGAGAGGGUAGCCUCUCAGGAGGCAGGAAGGGAACACACCACCCACAUGGAGAAUGGGAAGGAUGCUGAUUAGCAUCAGAGGUAGUUUCUGCAAGUAGAGAAAUGUCAUGGGUGAGCGAUGGGGGCGAGGGGGUCAUCUGGAGGAGGCUAGAAUGUUGCUCACUUUCUGACAAGCCUACCCUGAAACUGUCUUGGAGAACCCUGUUUCUGUGUGACAACCAGCCCAAUGCCUCCCCAGUUUUCUCUGACCAUUUGGAGUAAUAGCAGGGCAGUCCUUUGUGUGAUCAGAAACCAAGUCACAUAGACUUUUCCUGAUGAGCCAUUUCAAGAUCACUCUCCCUAAAUCCUUUUAUUGGAAGUACUGGUCAGUGCUUUGUCUUGCAAAAAUGCCUUUUGGUUUCUUUCCCUUUGUCUUUGAUUAUUGGAUAAACAUUUUAGUUUCAUGAUUACAUAGUGUUUAGAUGGGGCAAUUCAUAAAUCGGCAUUACUAAAAUUGUUUGCCUUCAUUUACAUUAUAUCAGUCAUAUUACAUCUGCUUCAGGAAUGCCAGAAAACAUAAACAUGGCUUAUUUUGUAAACUACCUCAAUUGGAGCAUCUGAGAGAGAGAGAAGGCGUAAAAUGUGGGAGUUGGCAUGCUGUCUCCCCUUGAGUAGGAGAAUCUUGAAGCCAGGAAGUUCUCUGGAAGCCUUCUACUACCACCUUCUUAAACCCGGUGCCUCCCAUCCUCUUCCUGAAUUCUUCUAAGGAAGGAGAGUUCUCAGAAUGUGCCAACUUUUAGAGAAAGGCAAACCACAACCGAAUAAAACGUUAACAUUAAUUUCUCUUAACACUAAUCUGAAACUUGUUCAGGUGGCUACAGUAUAAAAUGGAUGAAAGCCAGGAGUGACCUGGGGAUACUGUCAUUUGAUCUACAAAAUCCUAGUGUUUGCUGGAUGCAGUGCUUAUCAGUGAGGUGUGUCUUUUUUUUUUUUUUUUUUUUUUUUUUUUUGUGGAGGAGAGCUUUUCACAUCUUCUUAUCACAUAAGUUGUCUUCAUCUUCUAUGGUUUCUACACUUUGGUCUUUUCCCUUGGAUAUUGUAUCUUUCCCAGACAUGGCUUCCAAGAUGUGGCUGCAUUUAGGGAUGCAAUAUUAACAGUGGGUUGGUCUCUGUAAUUUUGGACGAAAUCACCUGUGUUUUUGCAGGCAUCCGUAUAAAGUUUACAAAAGGACCCUGAGACUUAGCUGUUCUUCUGCAUCAGUGUUUCACUUAUUCAUCCCUUCCUGUAGAAAAAUCUGACGCCCACUGUGUUCCUUUCCAUUUCCACCAUUUACUCUUCAUUUGGGGCCAUUAUCAAUGCUCACUGAUACUAUUACUUCAAAAAUGGGUUUUAAUCUCUGUCUCUGGGGGCCAUGACAUAAUAUCCCCAAACAUCACCUUGAUCCUUACUCCCUCCUCCUUAAAACCUUCAUGGCAUAAUUUUCAAAAUAAUGUAUUUUUUUGUUCUGAUUACAAAAGCAAGAUAUAUGUGUUUUUUUUUUUUUGUUUUUUGGUUUCUUUUUUGGGUUUUUUUGCAGAAAAUUUUAAAAAUAGAGAAAAGCGAAAAGUAACGAAAACAUCACUUGUAAUCCACCACCAAAACAAUAGCCUAUUGUUAAUAGGUGGUACACAUCCUAUAAGUUGUUCUUUUGUCUUUUCUAGCACUGAGAGCCUUCCUGGUCUGGUCCCAGCUUGACAUUACAAUCUUCUCUCUCUAGUUCCUUCCUCUCUGGGGACCUGUAUUACCUUGCAUAGAACUUUUCAUAUUCCUCCCACCCCAGUGAUUUUUUUCUGACUGUAUAAACAAUACAUAUUGUUCUAAAUAUUUUAAAAAUACAUUUAAGAAAUAAAAAUUUCAUUUGAAAACAUCUUAGACCCUGAAAUAAAAACCACUGACGUUUUGCAGACUACCUCAUCAUCAGCUGUUUAUAGAUGUGUGCCUAAGCUCACACACAUGAUUUCCUAUAAGUGAGAUCGUGGCAUCCAUGUGGUUUUUAUGGUUGAUAUCUUCUUUCAUUUUCGUUUAUUUCUUUCCUCCCACUCCCUUCCUUCCCUCCACCCUAAUCCCUCUCCCCCUUGCUGCCAAUGUUAUUGGUCUUGUGUGUUAUCCUUCUGUGCUUCAUUCCACACUCAUAUAAUUAUACCAGACAUUUAGAUAGAUAGGUAGAUACUAUGUACGUGAAUUCUGUCAUUGCUUUAGAAAAAUCAGACCAUAUCAUACGUCCCUCUCGGCAUCUUGUGUCUUUUUCACUUCACAAUGAAAAGAGAACUUCACGUUGUUGAAACUCCUCCAUGCUUUCUUUUUCACGACUGCAGAGUGUUUCUUGGUUGACCUUAGCACCAUCUAUUGAAUGAUUCUACUACUUACUGCUGUGGUGAGUUUUGAAUUUGGAUAGAUAUUUCCAAAUAGAUAUUACCAGCAGUGUAAAAGUACCUUUUGUGUGUCCUUUCAUGUGGCUAUGACAUUGUCACUACCAAGGAGCCUCUAAAUUUCAGGGGAUGAUGGGGAGGCAGGGUCCCUUUGAAGUCCCAAACUUCAGGACAAACACAGGGCCAUAAGAAGACCAUCACUGUAAUAUAUAUCAGAGAAUUCAUUAAAUGGAGAUGGUAGUUUACUGGAGUUGGGUUCUGGGGAAGAAAUAUUUAUAGAAAUGAAUCUCAAGUCCUAAAGUGUUCCUUUAUUUUAGGAUGACAUUUUUUUUAAACCCAACAACAUUCAGUUAGCAUGGCAGCUAGAAAUUUCCCUCUUGGCUUUAAUUUUUUCUUUACAGUUUUUGUCAGAACUCAAAAGGUUAAAUACACCACAAACAACUUCUAAACCUUUGAAUCAACCUUGAAAAAUACACAGAUGGAUGUAUGGCAAGAUUGGCUCUGACUGAGAGUGCCUACUCCAUGGGUUACAUUUCCAGUGCUUUAAAAAUACCUGUUCAUGUGGUGGUCGAAGUCUGCAAACAGAUGGGCGGGUUGGAUCCUAACAGACCAUCUCCUGCAGUGGGAUGUUGGCUGCACCUCCUCUCCUCCAAGAUGGCAGCUCAGCCCCACUCCCUUUCCUUCCCACCACCUGUCUUCCUCUAAGUCUGUACUGUCUUUCUACCCUCAUCCUGCCACUACUUCGGUUGUCUUUCUUGCUUUCCUUCUUCUUCUUUUCUCUCCCUCCCCUCUCCCUUCCAUGUAUCCCAGAUUUCUCAACUUUCCCACAAAGAAGCUUGGCGUCUGCAGCUAGUGCCUGCCAUUGAGAUGGUACCAGGAAGCCCACUCCACCCCUCACAUCAUUUUGGAUGCAACCUGAAGGUCAUUAGCCAGUCUGAGGUAUUUUCAUCCCUAAUUUUUCUGUGGAUAAGCUCUCCACUUGACAGAAAGGCUUCUCCCAGCCUCCUUUUACUGUUUUAUCUGACAUCAUUUUAGGACCUUGAGUCCCUGAGGGCCUAAGGCAUCCCUGUACUUGGAGGUAGAAAGAGAUUCUAUCUCCAGGAGAACUCAGAGCAACCUUUUCUGCAAAAGACUCUGGGCCCCUGGUGUCCCACCAAGAAAAGAACCUCUGGAUUGUUAAAGGUUAUUGGAGUUGCAUGGGGAACGAAUGAGGUAAUCUAGACUCUAGUUCCAUCAUUCUUCAGUAUCGUCUCAGUGUCAGGGAAAGUUAUGAGUAGGAUUCUGGUCUUAACUCUUCACUUCUUAAUUUACUCACCUUUGUGGAUUAGACAGAGCCUAGACAUUAGUUUGAGUGUGUGUGUGUGUGUGUGUGUGUGUGUGUGUGUGGUUUAAUAUGUACAACUUGUCUGAACGCAGUAGCUCUGUGGUUUAUCUUUUACUGAGAACUGCUUUUUUUCUCUCCCUUUUCUAAGAAAAUGCUAGUUUCCUAGACUGAAGUCUUUCUUGUGAGUUUGUCAGCAGAGAGGGGUGUUGUAUGAGGGCCUGUCGGUGAUACUAAGAUCAAACAGUCACCCAAUUUGGGUGACUUUGACACAAAUACUGUUGACUGAAAUGGUAGUGAGCAUGUGAUGCUGGCAUGUGACAUUUGAAUAUUUGCCAAGAAAAGCACCCAGGACACUGCGACCAGCUGCAAGAGUAAGAGAUUUGCCUGUUUUACUGUUUUUACCUGCAUUUUUAUUUGAGAAUCUGAAACCAACCUUUAUAGUUUGGGGCAGGAAAGUAACACAGACAGCCAGCAUAAAUCUGUUUACCUGCUUUUGCCUUUCACUGUGUAAAGAAUUCAGGUCACUUAGUCUUAAUCAAGAGCAGCAUAGGAAUUAGGGGACAUGAUCUUAGCAAGUUCGAAUUUUCUAUAUGUUCUUUCACUCCCUGUUCCUGAAAUUCCUUUCAAGACUUUUUCAUCCUUCUGGUAAAGGUGGUGACCUGCAUUUGCUAAAGCUUGGAAUUCAGACCUAAGAUACCUGGGCCCCAGUUGUGGCUUGUUGCUGCUUAUCACUAUGAGACUCACUCUCUAGCCUUGGUUUUCUAAUCUUUAAUAUGGGACACCCUACUUCAUGUGGCCAUUGAAAACAUCAUAACUUCGUUCCCUGCCCUCCUUUCCUUUGAAGAAACUCAGAAUUUCCAAAACUGUGAAAUGCAGUAUUUUUAGGGCCCACUUAGAAUUUUCCUGUAAGAAGAGAGGACAACGAGAAAUGCAGUCUUCUACUGUUAUAGCAUUUAACCACCACCAACAACCCUUUCCCCCCACCCCUGGAAACUGGUUGCAUUCUGAUAAAACCUGUGCAGGGACUAGGCAAUUGUAGAUAGUGUGUCCCCUGAUUUUCAUGAGUUAAGAGCUUCCCUCUGGCACUUCUGUAGAAAGGCCUUCACAGAAUGUAGUUCUACUGUGCUGGCAGUUGUGUCAUUAGCCAGGGAGAGUCAGAGAUUGCAGCCAAGUUAGAGUAAUGCCAAAUGCUAUACCUGUCAGUAACAUCUGUCAUGCUCAAGUGCCUAUUUAGUCUAAAGAACUAAAAUCAGGCUGCACUCCCUAAAAUAAAAUGUAGACAACAAGUGGGUACCCAAACUACAGCAUCUGCCAGAGCGAAUGUUAGCAAAGGAUUAAAGUGACCGCUUGAAAUAUAUAGGUGGCUUAAAACCAGAAAUAAAGGAUGCCACCCACAGGGACUCCUGUGGGCUCAGACAACCAGGAGAAGGAAGUUCCCAUUGUGGCUCAGUGGUAAUGAACCCGACCAGUAUCCAUGAGGACGUGGGUUCAAUCCCUGGCCUCGCUCAGUGGGUCAGGGAUCCGGCAUUGCCAUGAGCUGUGGCGUAGGUCGCAGACGUGGUUCGGAUCCUGUGUUACUGUGGCUAUGGUGUAGGCCGGCAGCUAUAGCUCUAAUUUAACCCCUAAUCUGGGAACUUCCAUAUGCAGAGGGUGCAGCCCUAAAAAACAAAAACAAAACAAACAAACAAAAAACGAAAGAAA
RNAcentral lists this long non-coding RNA (9040 nucleotides) under Sus scrofa (pig). RNAcentral describes it as "lncRNA (ENSSSCG00060068316.1)". Lineage: Eukaryota; Metazoa; Chordata; Mammalia; Artiodactyla; Suidae. The record is from RNAcentral.